GGAGUUCCCAUCAUGGCUCAGCGGUUAAUGAAUCUGACUGGCAUCCAUGAGGAUGCAGGUUCGACCCCAGGCCUCAAUCAGUGGGUUAAGGAUUCGGCGUUGCCAUGAACUGUGGUGUAGGUCGCAGAUGCAGCUCAGAUCUGGCGUUGCUGUGGCUGUGGUGUAGGCCAGUGGCUACAGCUCCAAUUUGACCCGUAGUCUGGGAACCUCCAUAUGCCGCGGGUGUGCCCCCCACCCAAAAAAAAAAGAGUAAGAAUGUUGUUCAAGGUCAAUCUGCCGGUGGUUCCCACAUCCAUGAUUUGAAUCCAAGAGUGUUUGAAUCCAAGACGCAGGGUACUAAAAAGAGGAUGUACAUAUGAAAAAAGCACUUUCAUACUUCUAAGAAGCCUCAAAUCUUCUUUCCCUAAAAUCUGCUCUUGGCAUAGUUACAGUUUAUUGCUCUCUAUAUAGGAGUUUCAUUAAUAACACUUAUAAAAGGUCAAUGUAUUGUCUCAUUUUGCAACAUCAGUGCUGGGAGUAGGCUGUUAAUCUAGAAGAUAAUUCUUAUGGAAAAUAAGAAGUAUAUAAAUCAUGUGUGUUUAUAUGUGCAUGCUUAUAUAUAUGUAAAAUCUAAUGCUCUCCCCAAAAUGCACAUUGUCUCUUUUGGUCCUGUUUUUCCAAAGCUUACACUGCCAUGGAUGGAGUCUUUCACAGGAUUGUGACUGGUAUCUAGUGUCACUAAGAGGAGACUCUUGAUGGCACAGCUUGUUCAAAGAAAAUUGUUCCCUCUAAAAUAAGUUUUUAUCACAGAUUUCCUACACGGGAAGAUGGUUGUCUGUCUACUAUGCAAGCUAACACUUAUUUAUUUUGUUAUAAAUUUGCUUUCUCAUCCAGUGGGUUAAUAACCAAGCAUAUAUAAACAGACUACCAUUCCCUGCACCCCCCUCCUUUACCUUAUUUUUUCUUCUCUGAGACAGUGUUCGUGUGUGUGUGUGUGUGUGUGUGUGUGUCUGUGUGUACGCAUAAACAAAGGUAUAAUUAGUUAAGGUUUUCCUUAGUUUGUAUAAUUUUAUACUGUCCCAAAAUUCUUACUUAAAUGUCUUCCAAAGUUUAGAAACUGAAAAAUCUAUCAUAUUUUUUUACUUUACAAAGUAAAGGAUACUGUAAAUGAUCUGUAAGUUAUUUCUUCUCUAGUUACUGGUAGAAUACCUUUUUCCACUGGGUAAGGAAUAUGUGAUAAACUCAAUUUAAUUUGAUAUUAUCUAUGGUCUUGUCUAAAUCUAAUGCCCUUUGAUGUAUUAUAUAAUACCCUUUGAUUUACUGAUUUCACAUGUAUUUGAGCACUACUACAUGAAUCAUACUGUUUUAGACGAUGGGCUACAGCAGUGAGCAACAAAUGUUCUCCCUCACUAAGCUUACAUACUAGAAGCAGAGAUUGGUACUAAGCAUUAAAACAAACAAGUAAUAGAAAUAGUAUGUCAGAUAGUGUGACAUGCUCUGUGAAGGAAAGAAAAAAUAUAGUAUAAGGCAUAGAGAGUUUUUAAAACUUCUCUGAUAAGAUGACAUUUGAGUGGAUAGCCUGGAAAAAGUGUUACACUAUGCAUGUAUUCAAGAGAUGAGCACUGCAGACAGAGGAGAGGCAAAGAUGAGAGCGUGACUUGGGUUUAAGAAACAGCAAGGCAUGCAGUGUGUUGGAGCAGAGCAAGGAGUGGAGAGAAGUGAUUGGUGAUCAUACUGCUUAUGGCUUUGAGGACCCCAGUGGUGACUUCAGUAAACCAUUAGAAGAUUUUGAUCAUAGGACUAUCAGGGUCAUGAUACUGUACCCAAAGAAUCAACCUUUCUGUAUGAUAAUUUUAAAAAUAAUUUAAAUGUGCAUUUUAAAGGAACUCUUUGGUGACUUUGUGUAGGAUAUCACGUUCGAGGUCAAGGGUGGAAUCAAGGAGUUCUGAUAGGAGUCUGGCAAUAACCUGGGUGCAUGAUGAUCAUAGCCUAAAAUAGGGUGCUGCAGAGUAUUUAGAUUCUAGGAAUUAGAUAAUUUGCUGACAGAUUGGAUGUGAAGAAUGAGAAAAGAGGAGGAGCCAAGGAUGAGUUUAAUUUUAAGCGGGGAGGGAUGUAGUGAAAUAGAACAUCUUAAAGAAUGGAAUUGUCACAUUUACUGUGAUGGAGAAGACUUCAGGGGAACAGGGUUGCAGGGAAUUAACAGAUUACAUUUUAUUAUAUUUCUAUCAGGCAUCACCUUUGAGUGUUGAGGAAGCAGCUGGGGUCUCAAGUUCAGUGGAGAAAUCUGUACUGGAGAUGUACAGUUAAACAUGUAGAUAGAAUCUAAUUCUGUGGGUCUUCAUGGAAUUACCUAGUAAAAGAGUAUAGAUAAAAAAGAGAUGAGGUCUUAAGGCUGAACUUCCAGAUGCUUCAGCAUUUAGAAGUUUGGGAUAUGAGGAGAGAUAAAGGGGGCUGGAAAAAAAUCAGCUAGUGAAUAAAGGUCAAUAUGGGUUAUUAUUGUUAUUAUUUAUCUUUUGGUGAUAUUGGAAAUAACUGUCUUGUUUGACGGUAAGAACAACAGCCAAAUUGGAGUGAUUCAAGGAAAAAUUAGAGAGGAAAUGGAGAAAAAUAUCACAGCUAUUUUUUUCUAAGAGUUUUACCAUAGAGAAGGACAGAAAUAUGGUGGUAGGUGGCUAGAGGUAGAUGUGGGUCAAAGGAGGUGUUUUAAUUCAUUUUUAUUUAAAAAUUUUAAUAUGAGAGAUGCUUUGACAUGUUAUGUGGUGGUUGGAAAGGUCCAGUAGAGAGUGACAGCAGGUAGAGAUUUAUAAUUGUGCUUUUUGAUAAAACAUUUCUGUUGAAUGUCCAUAAAACAGAUGCAUUUUGACAUUAGGGCACCUCCCGGUCCAUGGGUGGAUGGGAAUUCCCUUUACACUUUGUAACAGAGUCAGCACCAUGACAGAAGCUCACCCAUCACUCCAUUUGCUUGGCUAAUAAAGAGGCAAUCAAAGGCCUGUGUGUUCACAAGGUAGGUUGGUAUGAUCAGAAAAGGAGAUUUAUGGACCAAAGUGAGCCAUGAUAUUAAAAGGUCACAAAUAACAUUUCCCUGUUGAGUCUGCUCUCACAGAUCCUAUGGCCUUCUACUCCUGGCUUCUUUUUGGGAAUUCAUUGGGCACUGUUGUGAGCAGUUGUGUUAACCCAUGAUUGCUAACCCAUGGGGUAGCAGAUUCUCAAGUGUAUGGAGUGAAGGAGGACAGUCAGAAUUUUGUACUGAGAACUAGCAAUGAGCCUGCCUGACACAGAAAUCCUUUCCUGAUUGGUCAGGACUGGUCAGUGCCCCUUUCUGCGGGAAUAUUCUAAGACUUCCUUCUAGUACUGGCAAUCUGUGUUUGUUUGUGAUUGCAGAAUAGAUUUGCAACAAUGGUAAGAAACCUUUCCCCUGCUAAUAAACAGAACUGUGCUUUCUUCUACUCUGGGUGUAUGGUGGCUGUCACAUUGCUCCUCAGGAAAUUGAACUGUGUUUGACUUAUCUUCUUUCAGUGUCACUUUGCUUCAGAUAUCAUUCUUAAGCUGAUAUGGGCACUGAAGGUUCAACUGCCUUCAGUCACAUGGCUUUCUACUGAUUAAAAGCCUUUAUAAUCUGCUAUUAUCAAUAGAAUCCAAACCAAAGUUUAUAUUUGCCCAGUCUAUAGCAGAGAAGUUUUUUUUUGUGUGUGUGUAUAUGCAUUUUGGGGGAGAUAUUGAAGUUGUCUUUGGAUUGAUAAAAAUUGUCUUUGAAAAUAUUAGAAGAACCUUUUUAGAAACCCAUUUAUCAUUAAAAUAGAUUACACAGGGUCUCUACUGGGCAAUAUUCUUGUGGUUAAGUGAUUCAUAUGCACAUAGGUUAAAAAAACUGUAAUUCCUUACAUCUUUAAUUCACAUCUGCACUGGACAUAAGUAAGGGUGGCUAUGAAAAAUGAUUUCCAGUGAAUCAGUGAUCAGUAGUACUAAGAGAAUUUCUGUCCACUCUAGGCUGCCAGGUGGAUAUAGCAGUCAGGGAUAUAGAGAUAGCAUUCUUUUUUGCCUGUCCUGAUUUGUCAAAAACCUAAAAAAUAAAAAGUCACAGUCUUAUCUUAAAAAUAAAAUAACAAGGGAUAUUUUCAUUAUCAAUUAGGAAGCACUAAGAUGUAAAGCAUAAUCAUGGAGAUAUUUGGGAACUAGAAAUCUCCAUAAAAGUGGGCUUUUGCAGCAUUCAGGCUAAUCCUGGUGUUUGCCUUUGAUUACUUUGGGUACCAUUUAGUCCACUUACUGUAUCAUCUUGUAAUUGCCCUGAACAGUUUUUCAUCACAAAAGUAGUUACGUUCUCUCAUUGUUUGACACAGAGUGUAAAGAAAAAGUAUUUAAAAUGUCAGGCUACUUUAGUGUGUUAUACCACAAAGGAUGGAGCAGAUGUUUUUAAAUAAACAUCAGCCCUGGUUGUGCAUGGUUAAGACACUGGGGAGCCUUUUUCAGAAGCAGGGGAAGCUCAUGAAUUUAGAGGAGGCUUAAAUACUGUACUUUCACAUAAAACCGUAAAAAGUUGGCAGAAGUAUCAGAGGCCAAUGAAUGGGCAUAGAGCUGAACAUGUUAUAACUCAGAUUACCAAUAAAAAUGUCAGCCUCAAAUCUGAAGUGAAUAGUUUUGUAAUACUGAACUGAAAGCAUUUUUUAAUUGCUUUCAAAUGGACAAACUUCAUAUAAUUUAAUAAAAUUUAUCUACUUUAUUAUCAAAAAGGCUAUUAUUGCAGCAAAGGGAAAUGGAGGAUUUAAAUGUCAUUCCUAGCAUCUAAUUUCCCAGCUCUUUUAUUGGGAUGUUAUUAAAACAAGACCAAAUGGACUUUGCUACAUCCAUAAAAGCCAGUCAAGCAAGAGAGUUAAUCUGAGUGCUGUAGAAUCAUUAAACAUGGCCUGUGGUUGUAGUCUGGCUGGUGUUGGGUGAGAUGUGCCUUGGGAAGCAGGUGUGAUGUGUCAGGAGCCAUGUUUUAGCAUUCUGUAUCUUGUGGAGCCUAAAGAACAGCUGGAUUCAGGGAGACACAUACCAGGGACAAUGAUUAUUUUUGUACCCAAGGGAUUAAUUUCAUUUUUUAAUGUUCCUUAUGAAUCAGCUAAAGUCUUUGAAACAAAUGGUGGCAAGGAAAGACUGGGGGGCUAGGUAGAGCUGGUAGGGAGGUCUUCUCUCUGCUGGAAAGCAGUUCCAGUAACUUGCUAAGUGGUUGCUUGCAUUUGGUGUGCUUUCUCUGGACUUAUUCAGAAAUAUUCUCAUGUUUGUAGGAAGAAAGAACAAUCUGUGGACAGUGGAACUAUUUAUAGUUUAAAAAACGAAAACAAAAACAAAAAACAAAAGAGAUAAAGUAUCAAGAUAUCUUUGGCUGUGAGGAGGAAACUGUAGUUAGUUACUAGGGAAGUGUAGAAAGGGAGAUAAACAUUUAUCUAGAUAUGGUAUUUUAAUAGUAGUUGUAGUCAUAGUAAUAAAUAAGAUGUGCUCAAUACUGUGCAUACUUUAUUUCAUUUGCAAUAAUCUGAGGUAUUCUUUCCAUAUCACAGACAAUUCUAAAACCCAAGUUUCCCAUCCAAGUACUAACCUACAGAAUGGGAGAAAAUAGUUUCAAAUGAUGCAACUGACAAGGACUUAAUCUCUAAAAUAUACAAACAACUUAUACAGCUCAAC
RNAcentral lists this long non-coding RNA (5640 nucleotides) under Sus scrofa (pig). RNAcentral describes it as "lncRNA (ENSSSCG00000054889.1)". Lineage: Eukaryota; Metazoa; Chordata; Mammalia; Artiodactyla; Suidae. The record is from RNAcentral.